GGGGAAUUUUCCUGCAAUGGGCGAAAGCCUGACGGAGCAAUCUCGCGUGAGGGAUGACUGCCUAUGGGUUGUAAACCUCUUUUUUCAGGGGAGGAACAAAAUGACGUGUACCUGAAGAAUAAGCAUCGGCUAACUCCGUGCCAGCAGCCGCGGUAAGACGGAGGAUGCAAGUGUUAUCCGGAAUCACUGGGCGUAAAGCGUCUGUAGGUGGUCCAAUAAGUCAACUGUUAAAUCUUGAGGCUCAACUUCAAAAUCGCAGUUGAAACUAUUAGACUAGAGUAUAGUAGGGGUAAAGGGAAUUUCCAGUGGAGCGGUGAAAUGCGUANAGAUUGGAAAGAACACCGAUGGCGAAGGCACUUUACUGGGCUAUUACUGACACUCAGAGACGAAAGCUAGGGUAGCAAAUGGGAUUAGAUACCCCAGUAGUC
RNAcentral lists this ribosomal RNA (428 nucleotides) under uncultured cyanobacterium. Its description in RNAcentral is "bacterial SSU rRNA". It matches the Rfam family "Bacterial small subunit ribosomal RNA", at positions 356 to 795 of the family's 1533-position model. Lineage: Bacteria; Bacillati; Cyanobacteriota. The record is from RNAcentral.